RNAcentral lists this microRNA precursor (76 nucleotides) under Homo sapiens (human). RNAcentral describes it as "miAB1_pre". Lineage: Eukaryota; Metazoa; Chordata; Mammalia; Primates; Hominidae. The record is from RNAcentral.
CAGAGAGAGGAAGAGAGCUGCUUAAACUCACACAACAAUGAACUGCAGACACAGCUGUUCUCUCCCUCUCUCCUUC